AGUCAUUCCCCUCUUCCCCCAGCAAGGGGGGUUCCUGUCCUAGCCGGGCCAAGAUGUCAAUGACAGGGGCGGGAAAAUCACCUCCAUCUGUCCAGAGUUUGGCUAUGAGGCUACUGAGUAUGCCGGGAGCCCAGGGAGCUGCAGCAGCAGGGCCUGAACCCCCUCCAGCCACCGCUAGCCCAGAGGGACAGCCCAAGGUCCACCGAGCCCGCAAAACCAUGUCCAAACCAGGGAAUGGACAGCAUUCCAAGACCCCAUCUCUAAAAGAAGUUUGAGAGAAUGUUUCAAAGGCCAGGCCCAGUGAUUCACGCCUGUAAUCCCGUACUUUCUGGGGAGGAUCACUUGACACCAGGAGUUCAAGACCAGCCUGGGCAACAUGGCAAGACCUCUUCUCUACCAAAAAAAAAAAAUUAAGACAUUAGUUAGGCAUUGUGACAUGUGCCUGUAAUCCCAGCUUCCCAGGAAGCUGAGGCAGGAGAAUGGCUUGAGCCCAGUUCGAGGCUGAAGUGAGCCAUAGUCAUGCCACUGCACUCCAGUCUGGCCCCCGGUCCCUGAGAAGCGGCCCCCUGAAGUACAGCAUUUCCGCAUGAGUGAUGAUGUCCACUCACUGGGAAAGGUGACCUCAGAUAUGGCCAAAAGGAGGAAGCUGAACUCAGGAGGUGGCCUGUCGGAGGAGUUAGGUUCUGCCCGGCGUUCAGGAGAAGUGACCCUGACGAAAGGGGACCCCGGGUCCCUGGAAGAGUGGGAGACGGUGGUGGGUGAUGACUUCAGUCUCUACUAUGAUUCCUACUCUGUGGAUGAGCGCGUGGACUCCGACAGCAAGUCUGAAGUUGAAGCUCUAACUGAACAACUAAGUGAAGAGGAGGAGGAAGAAGAGGAGGAAGAAGAAGAGGAGGAAGAGGAGGAGGAAGAGGAAGAAGAAGAGGAAGAUGAGGAGUCAGGGAAUCAGUCAGAUAGGAGUGGUUCCAGUGGCCGGCGCAAGGCCAAGAAGAAAUGGCGAAAAGACAGCCCAUGGGUGAAGCCAUCUCGGAAACGGCGCAAGCGGGAGCCUCCGCGGGCCAAGGAGCCACGAGGAGUGAAUGGUGUGGGCUCCUCAGGCCCCAGUGAGUACAUGGAGGUCCCUCUGGGGUCCCUGGAGCUGCCCAGCGAGGGGACCCUCUCCCCCAACCACGCUGGGGUGUCCAAUGACACAUCUUCGCUGGAGACAGAGCGAGGGUUUGAGGAGUUGCCCCUGUGCAGCUGCCGCAUGGAGGCACCCAAGAUUGACCGCAUCAGCGAGAGGGCAGGGCACAAGUGCAUGGCCACCGAGAGUGUGGAUGGAGAGCUGUCAGGCUGCAAUGCCGCCAUCCUCAAGCGAGAGACCAUGAGGCCUUCUAGCCGCGUGGCCCUGAUGGUGCUCUGUGAGACCCACCGCGCCCGCAUGGUCAAACACCACUGCUGCCCGGGCUGCGGCUACUUCUGCACGGCGGGCACCUUCCUGGAGUGCCACCCUGACUUCCGUGUGGCCCACCGCUUCCACAAGGCCUGUGUGUCUCAGCUGAAUGGGAUGGUCUUCUGUCCCCACUGUGGGGAGGAUGCUUCUGAAGCUCAAGAGGUGACCAUCCCCCGGGGUGACGGGGUGACCCCACCGGCUGGCACUGCAGCUCCUGCACCCCCACCCCUGUCCCAGGAUGCCCCUGGGAGAGCAGACACUUCUCAGCCCAGGUACUGGCUUCCCCCUUCUGUACUGUCUGUUCCCUGCCCCACCCCUAUUGCUCCUGGACAUGAGCUCCUUCUUCCACAGCGCCCGGAUGCGAGGGCAUGGGGAACCCCGGCGCCCGCCCUGCGAUCCCCUGGCUGACACCAUCGACAGCUCAGGGCCCUCCCUGACCCUGCCCAAUGGGGGCUGCCUUUCAGCCGUGGGGCUGCCACUGGGGCCAGGCCGGGAGGCCCUGGAAAAGGCCCUGGUCAUCCAGGAGUCAGAGAGGCGGAAGAAGCUCCGUUUCCACCCUCGGCAGUUGUACCUGUCCGUGAAGCAGGGCGAGCUGCAGAAGGUGAUCCUGAUGCUGUUGGACAACCUGGACCCCAACUUCCAGAGCGACCAGCAGAGCAAGCGCACGCCCCUGCAUGCAGCUGCCCAGAAGGGCUCCGUGGAGAUCUGCCAUGUGCUGCUGCAGGCUGGAGCCAACAUAAAUGCAGUGGACAAACAGCAGCGGACGCCACUGAUGGAGGCCGUGGUGAACAACCACCUGGAGGUGGCCCGUUACAUGGUGCAGCGUGGUGGCUGUGUCUAUAGCAAGGAGGAGGACGGCUCCACCUGCCUCCACCACGCAGCCAAAAUCGGGAACUUGGAGAUGGUCAGCCUGCUGCUGAGCACAGGACAGGUGGACGUCAAUGCCCAGGACAGCGGGGGGUGGACGCCCAUCAUCUGGGCUGCAGAGCACAAGCACAUCGAAGUGAUCCGCAUGCUACUGACGCGGGGCGCCGACGUCACCCUCACUGACAACGUGAGUGAGAGUUUGGUUGAGGAGGAGAACAUCUGCCUGCACUGGGCCUCCUUCACGGGCAGCGCCGCCAUCGCCGAAGUUCUUCUGAAUGCGCGCUGCGAUCUCCAUGCUGUCAACUACCACGGGGACACCCCCCUGCACAUCGCAGCUCGGGAGAGCUACCAUGACUGCGUGCUGUUAUUCCUGUCACGUGGAGCCAACCCUGAGCUGCGGAACAAGGAGGGGGACACAGCAUGGGACCUGACUCCCGAGCGCUCCGACGUGUGGUUUGCGCUUCAACUCAACCGCAAGCUCCGACUCGGGGUGGGAAAUCGGGCCAUCCGCACAGAGAAGAUCAUCUGCCGGGACGUGGCUCGGGGCUAUGAGAACGUGCCCAUUCCCUGUGUCAAUGGUGUGGAUGGGGAGCCCUGCCCCGAGGAUUACAAGUACAUCUCGGAGAACUGCGAGACGUCCACCAUGAACAUCGACCGCAACAUCACCCACCUGCAGCACUGCACGUGUGUGGACGACUGCUCCAGCUCCAACUGCCUGUGCGGCCAGCUCAGCAUCCGGUGCUGGUAUGACAAGGAUGGGCGAUUGCUCCAGGAAUUUAACAAGAUUGAGCCCCCACUGAUUUUCGAGUGUAACCAGGCAUGCUCAUGCUGGAGAAACUGCAAGAACCGGGUCGUACAGAGUGGCAUCAAGGUGCGGCUACAGCUCUACCGAACAGCCAAGAUGGGCUGGGGGGUCCGCGCCCUGCAGACCAUCCCACAGGGGACCUUCAUUUGCGAGUAUGUUGGGGAGCUGAUCUCUGAUGCUGAGGCUGAUGUGAGAGAGGAUGAUUCUUACCUCUUCGACUUGGACAACAAGGAUGGAGAAGUGUACUGCAUUGAUGCCCGUUACUAUGGCAACAUCAGCCGCUUCAUCAACCACCUGUGUGACCCCAACAUCAUUCCCGUCCGGGUCUUCAUGCUGCACCAAGACCUGCGAUUUCCACGCAUCGCCUUCUUCAGUUCCCGAGACAUCCGGACUGGGGAGGAGCUAGGGUUUGACUAUGGCGACCGCUUCUGGGACAUCAAAAGCAAGUAUUUCACCUGCCAGUGUGGCUCUGAGAAGUGCAAGCACUCAGCCGAAGCCAUUGCCCUGGAGCAGAGCCGUCUGGCCCGCCUGGACCCACACCCUGAGCUGCUGCCUGAGCUCGGCUCCCUGCCCCCUGUCAACACAUGAGAACGGACCACACCCUCCCUCCCCAGCAUGGAUGGCUACAGCUCAGCCACCUCCUCUGCCACCAGCUGCUCGCAGCCCAUGCCUGGGGGUGCUGCCAUCUUCUCUCCCCACCACCCUUUCACACAUUCCUGACCAGAGAUCCCAGCCAGGCCCUGGAGGUCUGACAGCCCCUCCCUCCCAGAGCUGGUUCCUCCCUGGGAGGGCAACUUCAGGGCUGGUCACUCCCCUGUUCCCCAUCCUCAGUUGAAGUUUGAUGAAUUGAAGUCGGGCCUCUAUGCCAACUGGUUCCUUUUGUUGUCAAUAAAUGUUGGGUUUGGUAAUAAA
This 4016-nucleotide small RNA is filed under the name Pongo abelii (Sumatran orangutan). RNAcentral describes it as "processed transcript". The record is from RNAcentral. Lineage: Eukaryota; Metazoa; Chordata; Mammalia; Primates; Hominidae.